This 253-nucleotide ribosomal RNA is filed under the name uncultured bacterium. RNAcentral describes it as "partial 16S ribosomal RNA". It matches the Rfam family "Bacterial small subunit ribosomal RNA", at positions 524 to 776 of the family's 1533-position model. The record is from RNAcentral.
UACGGAGGGUGCAAGCGUUAUCCGGAUUUACUGGGUUUAAAGGGUGCGCAGGCGGAUAUGUAAGUCAGUGGUGAAAUCUCCGGGCUUAACCCGGAAACUGCCGUUGAUACUAUAUAUCUUGAAUGCUGUGGAGGUAAGCGGAAUAUGUCAUGUAGCGGUGAAAUGCUUAGAUAUGACAUAGAACACCUAUUGCGAAGGCAGCUUACUACGCAGAUAUUGACGCUCAUGCACGAAAGCGUGGGGAUCAAACAGG